AGGACGAACGCUGGCGGCGUGCUUAACGACAUGCAAGUCGAGCGAUGAAGCUCUUCGGAAGUGGAUUAGCGGCGGACGGGUGAGUAACACGUGGGUAACCUGCCUCAUAGAGGGGAAUAGCCUUCCGAAAGGAAGAUUAAUACCGCAUAAGAUGUAAUAUCGCAUGAUAUAGCAAUUAAAGGAGUAAUCCGCUAUGAGAUGGACCCGCGUCGCAUUAGCUAGUUGGUGAGGUAACGGCUCACCAAGGCGACGAUGCGUAGCCGACCUGAGAGGGUGAUCGGCCACAUUGGGACUGAGACACGGCCCAGACUCCUACGGGAGGCAGCAGUGGGGAAUAUUGCACAAUGGGGGAAACCCUGAUGCAGCCAACGCCGCGUGAGUGAUGACGGUCUUCGGAUUGUAAAGCUCUGUCUUCAGGGACGAUAAUGACGGUACCUGAGGAGGAAGCCACGGCUAACUACGUGCCAGCAGCCGC
RNAcentral lists this ribosomal RNA (475 nucleotides) under uncultured bacterium. RNAcentral describes it as "bacterial SSU rRNA". It matches the Rfam family "Bacterial small subunit ribosomal RNA", at positions 26 to 518 of the family's 1533-position model. The record is from RNAcentral.